ACAGCCAGGCCAGAAAACAAAAAAAGAAAAAACUUCUUCGGCUUCUUCUUCAUCUUCUACCUCUUCUUCUCCUUCGGCUUCUUCUUCCCUUGCCUCCAAGCUCUCCCGAUUUUUUUUUUCUUUUUCUUUUUUUUUUUCUUCAUCUUUCCCUGCCUCCAUCUUCUCCGGCCGCUAGCCACCGCUGCAACCUCACGACCACGAACAGCCCCUCCAGCCCACGCCGCGAACAUCCACAGCCACCGGUGGCCUCCCCUUGCCGCCUCCGCCAGUAGCCACCGCAAGCCACCACCGGCAGCAACUCCGUCAACCUCGGCCGAGACCAGUCUCGGUCCUUUGUCGUCACUCCCCGUAGACCAGCAUAGCCCCACUCUGGCCGCUCCAUCAACUCUUGCUACUCAUGCAUCGCCGUCAUCACCUCUCACACUGCUCAUCUUCGUCUCCAUUGCCGCGCCCAGCUCCGGUCUUUAACUCCGGCCACGACCCAGUUCCUGCAAACCCAGACACGUACCAGCUCCUGCAAAUCCAGCUUUAACCACCUCACGGCCAGCCUCCAACCCCUGCUGCAUGAGCAGGACAACCAUUCGUUCCCUUUGAUAGACAUUUCUCUCUAGGCUCAAUAAGAAUCACCCAUCAUAGUUCAACUCAUCUAUAAAAUGGGAAGAUGAGAAGAAGGACGUAUAGCCGGGUAGAAAAGGAAUACUGCAAGUGCUGUACAACAAGCCCAGAUUUCAAAGUUUGCAGAUGGGAAUUUGGCUGUACGAUGUGCUGAAUCUUUCAGGGGAGCCCCUUAAGUUAAACAACUCAUCGGACAGUUGGAGUUUGAACAAUGUGACCAAUACAGUUGAUAAAGUGACUGGGUAUUCCAGUGAUUCCUGGUACUUCACUUCAAGCCAUCCAAAUGUAACUAUCCAAGUCUAUGAUGCUGGCUCGUGGAAAUUGACCAUUAAAGUUACCGCAGACACCACCUCGGCCAGUGUAACCGCGACAUGGGGCAUAACAAAGAACUAUUCGCGCUUUAACUUCAUUUUUCAAGACACUAUAAUUUGGUUUUACACUUCAGACAAUCCUGUCACCUUGAACGGGAGUCAGCACCAGGGAUGGUAUCUAGAUAUUACGGAGGAAGAACUCAACUGGGUGCCCUAUGACGUGGCUUCGUAGUAUGUAUGCAUGCAUGGGAUUUCGAGAUGGCCAUUAAUCCAGUUUACUUAAAUUACUACUACUUUCUGUGUGCCCAGCCGGCUUUUAUUUUGUAAUAAAUCUUCAAUUUGCACGUCUGGUGUUGGUAAUAAAGUUUCUUCUUUGGUGGAGGAACAGGAAGAAGGCCCACUUCCAGGCACUCCGAUGUUAUAUGUAAUAAAGGAAAAAUAAAAUUAAA
Long non-coding RNA from Malania oleifera, 1375 nucleotides. RefSeq lists it as uncharacterized. The transcript is spliced from 3 exons. The record is from RefSeq and is a predicted model, not a curated record. Lineage: Eukaryota; Viridiplantae; Streptophyta; Magnoliopsida; Santalales; Ximeniaceae.